RNAcentral lists this ribosomal RNA (253 nucleotides) under uncultured bacterium. RNAcentral's name for it is "partial 16S ribosomal RNA". It matches the Rfam family "Bacterial small subunit ribosomal RNA", at positions 524 to 776 of the family's 1533-position model. The record is from RNAcentral.
UACGUAGGAUGCAAGCGUUGUCCGGAAUUAUUGGGCGUAAAGAGUUCGUAGGCGGUGAUCUAAGUCUGGUGUUAAAGCCCGGAGCUCAACUCCGGCAUGGCAUUGGAAACUGGAUUGCUAGAGUGUGGUAGAGGUAACUGGAAUUCCAGGUGUAGCGGUGAAAUGCGUAGAUAUCUGGAGGAACACCAGUGGCGAAAGCGAGUUACUGGCCCACAACUGACGCUGAGGAACGAAAGCCAGGGUAGCAAAAGGG